UACGUAGGGUGCAAGCGUUAUCCGGAAUUAUUGGGCGUAAAGAGCUCGUAGGCGGUUUGUCGCGUCUGCUGUGAAAACUGGAGGCUCAACCUCCAGCCUGCAGUGGGUACGGGCAGACUAGAGUGCGGUAGGGGGAGAUUGGAAUUCCUGGUGUAGCGGUGGAAUGCGCAGAUAUCAGGAGGAACACCGAUGGCGAAGGCAGAUCUCUGGGCCGUAACUGACGCUGAGGAGCGAAAGCGUGGGUAGCAAACAGG
Molecule: ribosomal RNA, 254 nt
Filed under: uncultured bacterium
Lineage: Bacteria
Description: partial 16S ribosomal RNA
Rfam family: Bacterial small subunit ribosomal RNA
Source: RNAcentral